AGUGAACGCCGGCGGCGUGCUUAACACAUGCAAGUCGAACGAGAACGGGUUAUAGCUUGCUAUAAUUGCCAGCUAAGUGGCGCACGGGUGAGUAAUGUAUAGGUAAUAUGCCUCUUACUAAGGGAUAACAAAUGGAAACGUUUGCUAAUACCUUAUACUCCUUAUUAACAUAAGUUAAUAAGGGAAAGAUUUAUUGGUAAGAGAUUAGCCUGUAUUGUAUCAGUUAGUUGGUGGGGUAAUGGCUUACCAAGACUAUGACACAUAACUGGUUUGAGAGGCGGAUUAUUCACACUAGAAAUGAGACACGGUCCAGACUCCUACGGGAGGCAGCAAUGGGGAAUAUUGCACAAUGGACGAAAGUCUGAGGCAGCAACGCCGCGUGGAGGAUGACACAUUUCGGUGCGUAAACUUCUCUUAUAUGAGAAGAUAAUGACGGUAUUAUAUGAAUAAGCACCGGCUAACUCCUUGCCAGCCGCCGCGGUAA
This 484-nucleotide ribosomal RNA is filed under the name uncultured bacterium. Its description in RNAcentral is "partial 16S ribosomal RNA". It matches the Rfam family "Bacterial small subunit ribosomal RNA", at positions 29 to 523 of the family's 1533-position model. The record is from RNAcentral.